UCUGUAGGUGAAACCUGCGGAGGGAGUCAUUACCGAGUUUACAACUCCCAAACCCAAUGUGAACGUUACCAAACUGUUGCCUCGGCGGGAUCUCUGCCCCGGGUGCGUCGCAGCCCCGGACCAAGGCGCCCGCCGGAGGACCAACCAAAACUCUUAUUGUAUACCCCCUCGCGGGUUUUUUUAUAAUCUGAGCCUUCUCGGCGCCUCUCGUAGGCGUUUCGAAAAUGAAUCAAAACUUUCAACAACGGAUCUCUUGGUUCUGGCAUCGAUGAAGAACGCAGCGAAAUGCGAUAAGUAAUGUGAAUUGCAGAAUUCAGUGAAUCAUCGAAUCUUUGAACGCACAUUGCGCCCGCCAGUAUUCUGGCGGGCAUGCCUGUCCGAGCGUCAUUUCAACCCUCGAACCCCUCCGGGGGGUCGGCGUUGGGGAUCGGCCCUGCCUUGGCGGUGGCCGUCUCCGAAAUACAGUGGCGGUCUCGCCGCAGCCUCUCCUGCGCAGUAGUUUGCACACUCGCAUCGGGAGCGCGGCGCGUCCACAGCCGUUAAACACCCAACUUCUGAAAUGUUGACCUCGGAUCAGGUAGGAAUACCCGC
RNAcentral lists this ribosomal RNA (591 nucleotides) under Trichoderma harzianum. Its description in RNAcentral is "eukaryotic LSU rRNA". The stretch from base 234 to 387 matches the Rfam family "5.8S ribosomal RNA". The record is from RNAcentral. Lineage: Eukaryota; Fungi; Ascomycota; Sordariomycetes; Hypocreales; Hypocreaceae.